UUUCUCUUGAGGUCAAACUCUUGGACGCUGAGAGGUUUAUAAAAGAUGAACAUUUCCUGACUUAUUGCACAGACUUCAUCCUCUCCAGACGAACUCAGCUGCAGAGAAAGACAAAAUGAAGAUCCUUCUCCUGACUGGCAUCAUCUUCACUGUCGUCCAAACGAUGUUUACCAGCAAAGAAGGGAAGCCUGACUACUGGAAGCCCUGUCACCACAGGAGCGUUGAACAGAAAUACAAAAACUUUACGAUAAGACACAUCAUUCCAGAAGACAGGAGCUUGAAUUCUAUAAAAGACUGGGAAAGCUAUCUAAGAGACAAGGGACUCUGGUGCAGAACACGGAAGCAGUCGUUCAUCCCGGCCAAUAUGACGAAGGACGUCCUGCAGAUCUGCAGCCGGUCUGGCCUCUAUGUGAAGAGUAACUUGUGCAGCGGCAGUUUGAAAAUGCUGGUGUUUGAAGUGUUAUCCUCCAAGUGUCCUCCAAAAAAUGAAACCAGGAAACAAAGGUUUAAUACACGUAUUACGGUAAACAAGACUCAACAGUUUGUGAUUGUGGCCUGUGAUAUGGUUGGAAACAUGUGCCUCCCCGUCCAUUUUGAGGGAAACAAAAGCCUCAAUAGAACGAAUGAGCCAUGCACCGCACCUCCUAGACCGCCGACCAAUCAGAGCAAAGUCUUCAUCAGAUCUGGGAUUUAAAAGAAAGGCUGCUAGCUCUGGGGCGAGGCGUCAACGUAAUUGAGGUCAUUGAUUACGUUGAACCGGACUCAGACGCUGUUCUUAGAUUCUGACAAACUGUUUCUGUUUUAACUUCUCUUGCACUUACGGUAGUCUUAUUUUAACCUGCACAGCUUUUUCCAUCUUUAUGGUAAUACAACCUGGCAGCACACGGUAGUUGUGAACAAAGAGGAAAGUUAAAGCGGUUUAGUUGUUAUAAAGGAUGAUUCAUUACCUUAAAACAUUUGAUUCAGAGCAAUAAACCAUUGUGAAUGAUCCCUUCCUUUACAUCGUACAGACAUUUCAAAUAAAUAUCAGUUCAUCUAACUUUGAUAUUAAGACUAAAUAAGUUUGUUCAUAAUUAUAUUUUCAUGUAAGAGUUUCCUUAACUGCUACAGUGCUAAUUUCUUUUGAUUCCUUUGUGUAAUAAAAAUACUCAAUGUGUUAAUUUUCUUUUCUUUUGAGGAAUAAAUGAAAUAUAUUUUCCUGUC
Long non-coding RNA from Platichthys flesus (European flounder), 1203 nucleotides. RefSeq lists it as uncharacterized. The transcript is spliced from 3 exons. The record is from RefSeq and is a predicted model, not a curated record. Lineage: Eukaryota; Metazoa; Chordata; Actinopteri; Pleuronectiformes; Pleuronectidae.